UACGAAGGGGGCUAGCGUUGCUCGGAAUCACUGGGCGUAAAGCGCACGUAGGCGGAUUGUUAAGUCAGGGGUGAAAUCCUGGAGCUCAACUCCAGAACUGCCUUUGAUACUGAGGAGCUUGAGUCCGGGAGAGGUGAGUGGAACUGCGAGUGUAGAGGUGAAAUUCGUAGAUAUUCGCAAGAACACCAGUGGCGAAGGCGGCUCACUGGCCCGGAACUGACGCUGAGGUGCGAAAGCGUGGGGAGCAAACAGG
This 253-nucleotide ribosomal RNA is filed under the name uncultured bacterium. RNAcentral describes it as "partial 16S ribosomal RNA". It matches the Rfam family "Bacterial small subunit ribosomal RNA", at positions 524 to 776 of the family's 1533-position model. The record is from RNAcentral.